AUGAAGGAUUGUGCUGGUACUGGAAGGGCAGAGAAAUUCCUGACCAAAUUUUGGGGUUUCUGUUCCACAGAGAGAACCCAGCUGGGCCAGGGAGGGCAGGAGCAACUCCUGACCAAAUUUUGGGGUUUCUGCCCCACAGGAAGAACCCAAAUAAUGAGGGUUGUUCUGGUCCAGGAAGAGCAGGGGAAAAUCCUGACCAAAUUUUGGGGUUUCUGCUCCACAGGGGAAUGAGGGUUGUGCCGGUCCAGGAAGUGCAGGGGAAAAUCCUGACCAAAUUUUG
This 280-nucleotide long non-coding RNA is filed under the name Zonotrichia albicollis (white-throated sparrow). RNAcentral's name for it is "lncRNA (ENSZALG00000011717.1)". The record is from RNAcentral. Lineage: Eukaryota; Metazoa; Chordata; Aves; Passeriformes; Passerellidae.